This 533-nucleotide ribosomal RNA is filed under the name uncultured bacterium. RNAcentral describes it as "bacterial SSU rRNA". It matches the Rfam family "Bacterial small subunit ribosomal RNA", at positions 777 to 1304 of the family's 1533-position model. The record is from RNAcentral.
AAUAGAUACCCGGGUAGUCCACGCUGUAAACGAUGAGAACUAGAUGUUGGUAGGCAUAGACCUAUUAGUAUCGAAGCUAACGCGAUAAGUUCUCCGCCUGGGGAGUACGGUCGCAAGAUUAAAACUCAAAGGAAUUGACGGGGGCCCGCACAAGCGGUGGAGCAUGUGGUUUAAUUCGACGCAACGCGAAGAACCUUACCUACCCUUGACAUCCUACGAAGGUGGCAGAGAUGCUACUGUGCCGAAAGGAACGUAGAGACAGGUGCUGCAUGGCUGUCGUCAGCUCGUGUUGUGAGAUGUUGGGUUAAGUCCCGUAACGAGCGCAACCCUUAUCCUUAGUUACCAGCGCGUGAUGGCGGGGACUCUAAGGAGACUGCUGGUGAAGAACCGGAGGAAGGCGGGGACGGACGUCAAGUCAUCAUGGCCUUUAUGGGGUAGGGGCUACACACGUGCUACAAUGGGGCGUACAGAGGGAAGCCAACUCGCGAGAGGGAGCCGAUCCCAGAAAACCGCCUCGUAGUCCGGAUUGGAGU